AUUUCUUUAGUAUAAC
Molecule: transfer RNA, 16 nt
Filed under: Canis lupus (wolf)
Lineage: Eukaryota; Metazoa; Chordata; Mammalia; Carnivora; Canidae
Description: partial tRNA-Gly
Source: RNAcentral